Molecule: ribosomal RNA, 465 nt
Filed under: Vreelandella stevensii
Lineage: Bacteria; Pseudomonadati; Pseudomonadota; Gammaproteobacteria; Oceanospirillales; Halomonadaceae
Description: partial 16S ribosomal RNA
Rfam family: Bacterial small subunit ribosomal RNA
Source: RNAcentral
CCUACGGGGGGCUGCAGUGGGGAAUAUUGGACAAUGGGGGCAACCCUGAUCCAGCCAUGCCGCGUGUGUGAAGAAGGCCCUCGGGUUGUAAAGCACUUUCAGUGAGGAAGAACGCCUGGUGGUUAAUACCCAUCAGGAAAGACAUCACUCACAGAAGAAGCACCGACUAACUCCGUGCCAGCAGCCGCGGUAAUACGGAGGGUGCGAGCGUUAAUCGGAAUUACUGGGCGUAAAGCGCGCGUAGGUGGCUUGAUAAGCCGGUUGUGAAAGCCCCGGGCUCAACCUGGGAACGGCAUCCGGAACUGUCAAGCUAGAGUGCAGGAGAGGAAGGUAGAAUUCCCGGUGUAGCGGUGAAAUGCGUAGAGAUCGGGAGGAAUACCAGUGGCGAAGGCGGCCUUCUGGACUGACACUGACACUGAGGUGCGAAAGCGUGGGUAGCAAACAGGAUUAGAUACCCCGGUAGUC